GGCUACGAAGCAUGAGACUGUGUCGGUAUGCAGCUUUGUGUGGAGCCAGCCCGUGGGUUAUGUGAAAACCACAAACCGAAUAGGUUCAAUCAAGCCGAACGAAAACACUUA
RNAcentral lists this small RNA (111 nucleotides) under uncultured Eubacterium sp. RNAcentral's name for it is "drum RNA". It matches the Rfam family "drum RNA". From Rfam's summary of the family: Firmicutes, Bacteroidetes (1 example), Proteobacteria (2 examples), Spirochaetes (2 examples). Lineage: Bacteria; Bacillati; Bacillota; Clostridia; Eubacteriales; Eubacteriaceae. The record is from RNAcentral.